GUCAACGUGGUAUUGGAGGAACGCUAUUGGUCAUUUUGUGAUUGGUGGGAUUCACUGAUCGGUCAACUUUUAAUGUGAACAUGGAAUUGGAACCAGGAACGGGAACAUUUCAAAAUAAAUCUGGUUAAUUUUAAAGGAUUAUCAUUUUAUCUUCUUUCUUUUUUCUUUUUUUUUUUUUUUUUUUUUUUUUUUAAAGACGAUUUAAAUAAAAUAUAAGAUAAAGAGAUUACAAGUUAUAAUAAGCAACUAAGAGUAGAUAAGAUGUAUGAAAUGAAUAUGACAUGUUAAUCCUCGACUUUUAGGUCAGUAACCGAUAGCGAGGCUUCCUCCCAUCUUCUGCUAGCUGUAUGAGGAAUCUGGUGUUCGCGGAAAAAGAUCGAUCUGUCGUUCGCAGUCAAAGACAUGGAACCACGGCCGCUCAGGCGCUCGCUCGCAGACACUCCGACACUCGCUCACGGACACUCCGGUGCUCGCCCUUCUGUCAGACGCUCGCGGAGAACCCACCAGACUCGCUCGCUCGUGGAGAACCCAAGGUGCUCGCUCGCGGAGACCCCGCUCGCUCGCAGAGACCCAAGGCGCUCGCCCGUUGCUUGUCCUAGAGAACCCAUGACGCUUGCUUCGCUCAGAGCAAGACGUUGCUCGCUCCUCUGUCAGACGAACCGCACGCGAAGAACCCAAAACGCUAGCACACGGAAAACCCAAAACGUCGCAUGCGGAGGACCCACCAGGCUUGUUCGCUUGUGGACAAAUUUUCCCUCUCUCUCGGUCAGAGUCCUUCACUUUGCGCGUUCGCUGUCGGAAACAUUUCUCGUUUGCUCACUCUCUGUUCGUGUCUGCAAGAAAAGAAAUUGUGUGAAGAUGACUCGUGCGUGAGAGUGAAAAAGACGGAAGAUGAACAGCGGUAAGAAAAAUCCCAAGAAGUGGAGGACGGUGGCGAGUAGAUUCUUUAUACUAAGUAGCUUCUUUUUAUCCACCCAAAAUAGAUGUGUAAAACAUUGAGAUCUUAUAUUCUAUUUAUAUUUAAUCAUUUUAAAAGAACCAUUUGAUUUAAAACAUACAUAAUUAAAGAUAGCUUUUUUUCCAGUGAGCUCAGCAUAGGGUGAGUUCAAAAACGCUCACCCUAUCUGAGCCGUUGGAUAUUAUGUAAAGUCAUCUGAACCGUCUUUUAAUUAUAUCGUUUUUUAAUGUUUUGGUUGUACACAUCUUCAUACAGACUUAAGCAUUAUCGUUUUUUAAUAUUUUGGUUGCUCAUUGGAAUUUAUAUCUCACGUAAAACUAAAAAGACCUACUACUAUCUCGAAGUGAUAUACCAAAGUUAUAUAAUAUAUCACUGUUUACAUUAUAGUUAAAAUUAAAUGAAAAUUAUUUAUACUGUGACAUUCAUCCUCUCAUUAGAUAUUGUCGUUCGAAACUCAUCUGGUUCAUGUGAGAGAGAAAACGCAAUAGACAUGAACGAUAUCCGCGACAAACAAAAUCAGGAAGAAGAUAAAAUCGAUAUAGAAAUCGCAAUAGACGAAAUUUGGAAAAACAAAAUCGAUGAAAUCGCGAUAGGCGAAAUCCCAAUAGCCGAAAUCGAGAUGAAAAAAAAUCGGUUAGAGUUACAAAAAUCGGGGAAUCACGAGUCAAGAAAGCAACCGAUCAACUAGGGAAACAGAGAAUCAACUUGGAAACGGAAGCAAAAAUUAAAAUCUUUACUUGCGAUAGAAGAAGAGUCCAACUGAUACCAUGUGAAAUUCCUCAAUCCUUCAUGGGAGCAGAUCUAGAGAAAGCAAUUCUUGGGUUUCCAAAAGUAAAAGUAUAGUCAAUACAAUAUAAAGUAUUUAUAUGACUCUAUUACACUAAC
This 1843-nucleotide long non-coding RNA is filed under the name Zostera marina. Its description in RNAcentral is "long non-coding RNA (ZMAR_LNC005171)". Lineage: Eukaryota; Viridiplantae; Streptophyta; Magnoliopsida; Alismatales; Zosteraceae. The record is from RNAcentral.